AUUGAACGCUGGCGGCAGGCCUAACACAUGCAAGUCGAGCGGAUGAAGGGAGCUUGCUCCUGGAUUCAGCGGCGGACGGGUGAGUAAUGCCUAGGAAUCUGCCUGGUAGUGGGGGAUAACGUCCGGAAACGGGCGCUAAUACCGCAUACGUCCUGAGGGAGAAAGUGGGGGAUCUUCGGACCUCACGCUAUCAGAUGAGCCUAGGUCGGAUUAGCUAGUUGGUGGGGUAAAGGCCUACCAAGGCGGCGAUCCGUAACUGGUCUGAGAGGAUGAUCAGUCACACGGGAACUGAGACACGGUCCAGACUCCGACGGGAGGCAGCAGUGGGGAAUAUUGGACAAUGGGCGAAAGCCUGAUCCAGCCAUGCCGCGUGUGUGAAGAAGGUCUUCGGAUUGUAAAGCACUUUAAGUUGGGAGGAAGGGCAGUAAGUUAAUACCUUGCUGUUUUGACGUUACCAACAGAAUAAGCACCGGCUAACUUCGUG
RNAcentral lists this ribosomal RNA (484 nucleotides) under uncultured bacterium. RNAcentral's name for it is "partial 16S ribosomal RNA". It matches the Rfam family "Bacterial small subunit ribosomal RNA", at positions 30 to 507 of the family's 1533-position model. The record is from RNAcentral.